UCAGUUCCUCUUGCCUCAGAUCAGAUGUCCACAACAUAGACACCUCCCUGUGAGGUACCUCACUACUGCUAAUUAGUGAGCUACUAAUGCUCACAUGUGGAGAUUAAGGAUAGGAAGGAGCUGUUCAAAUGCAAAUAUCUGGUGAAAUGGGGGCUGUUACUCCCAGAGCGUGGAAGGACAUUCCUUUGUCCAACCACACCUGCACUGUCAGUAGAUACCCACAUCUGCGACAGCUGAAGCUGUCCCUGCUGUGCAUAAUGGGGGCAGCCUAUAAAGGGAUUUAGCCGAACAAAUGGAGUCGUGUGCCACAGGAGCAUGAUUAAGCUUAUUUCUUUCUCUUCUGCUUUAUCACCUGUAUUUUCUAGAUCUUCCUUGACUGCAGUGGCUGUUGUAUCAUGGACAUUCCCGCGUGUCCUCAGCUGUUAUCAGCAAGUUUGUCCCAGCUUUUGUGUCUUCUUGCAGGACUUUAUUGGAUACAGCUAGUGAUACAUGGAGAUAAAAUGAGGGAUUCCUUUGCAAACUGUAUCCUUAAGUGUCCAGAAGUGAAUGAGCCUACGACUCACAUGCAGUACACCAUGGAAAAGAUUCUCUCAUUUUGGUCACUUGAGCUAUUAAGGAUAGCAUCAUUAACUGUUGUGUGGUCUUGAUCAGGCUGCUUCCCAACUGCUUGAUCAAGGAGAGCAGGCAGAAGCCUUUUGUCAGCAAUCUGAGGUGUCUGCAGAUCAAUGAGCAGCUGCCUAUGGGAGCUGCAAUUGCCCUGGCAUUCUCUGGCCGAGCAGAACAACAGCCCACCGAGUUCAGAAAACUUCUUCACACAGCUGCUGGGGGGGAAACACAGGUGAUGCUCAGCUGGGUGUCACACUGGCCAACAGGGAGCUAGUCAGGGCUGUGAUAGUCAGGGCAGCUUUGGCUCCUUUCACCUGACAUGGACCUGAUACUCACAGAGGAGUGUGAAGUCUCCAGCUGAUAGAGUUUCCUUACAAGUAAAGGAGUAGACAGGGGUGGUGCGGGCCUACUGUUGUGUCAAUAAGCACAGCAGCAGAGAGGGCUGAUGUACCUCACGGCUUCUUUGCCUCUGUCUUCACCAGCAACGCUUCCCUGGCUUUCCUGCCUGAAGGCAGGAUUCCAGAGCACAACUACCAAAUGGUGGGAGAAUUCCUCGACAGCAGCCCUGCCAAGAAGCUCUUGGGCUUCCCUGGGAGACAAAAAGCUUCACCUGUGUCAGCAGUGUGUGCUGGUAGCCCAGAAAGCCAACAGUAUUGUGGUCCGCAACAAAAGAGCGGUGGGCAGCAGGGCAAGGGAGGCGAUCAUCCUUCUCUGCUCUGCCUUCAUGAGGCCCCAACUAAAGUACUGUGAAUCCUCUUGUGGUAUCCUGGCCCAUCUCGUGGCUUGGAAGAUCAUGGUGAUCUUAAUUCUGUCUCGUCAGCUGAUGGUAGGUCACAGGAACGCUGGCGGGUUGGCUAGUGGGUGGUUGCUGAGAUGAUGGAUCUCUGCUGAAUGAGGCAUCUGGAGGUGGGGGCUCUGGGGCCGGGCCGCUCCGCUCCAGGGCCGGGCCAGGUUUUCAUUUCUUUAUGUACUGCUGUGUUGUUGCAGCUGCCCUUCUGUAUUGUUGUUGCUUUUUUUGUUUGUGAAUAUUAAAACGUGUUAUCUCUGUGUUGGUUGUCAUCCUGCUCUCUUUUCUCUGUUUUGCAGGUCAGCUCGUGCUGGAAGUUGGUGGUGUCACUGUAUGAAUGAAGGUCAGUUCAGGAGCAGCUGCUGAUGGAAGGAAUGAAGUCCACGUUAAUGGGCUGAAGCAUCUCCUGAACAUGGAGGAGCAGAGCGUGAGUGGCUGAGAAAUGGAGUUGGGACUCAGGGGAGCCGUAGGUGCUGUGUCACAACCUUCCUGAGCGGCCCUUGCAAGCUCCUGCUCCCCUCGCCUGCAAGUGGAGAAAUGCUCAAGCUUGAGGAAUCUUUUCCUUGGCAGCUGGAAAAGAUGGCACAGCUGCAGGUUUUGUGUCCUUCAUUGUCAUUGGAAAGCAGCCUCCUUGAGAGCAGGAGAGCAGCAGGCUGCCUGCUGUGUGGCUGCUGAAGGGCAUUUCUCCCAGCUGAGAUCCCCGAGCCCACGCUGGCAGGGAAUGUGCUGUGCCACCAUCUCUUCUGUGGAGCCACUUUGCAGCUUCUCUGCGUUAGCUGCAGUCGUGCCAGUUUCCAGGUGCCAUAAGCCAGACUGGCACAGUCUUGGGACUCAGACUUGGGAGACGGUGAAGAAAGCCAAGGCAAGUGCUGCUCGGCUGCAGAAGAAAGCCCAGAAGGAGAGCAAAAAGAACCGAGAAGGGCUUGAGCGAGAAGGCCCACAGGACGCUCGAAUCAGCUGGAAUGCUUCCUCGGAGGUGGCACCAAAGGCAGCGGCCUGAGUCGCCUGGUUUUCUGGCAUGGCCGUGCUUUCCCUGUCACAGACAGUGCAGUGAAACUGAGGCACCUGGAAGGGAAGGGCUUGUGCUGCAUUCCAAGCAAAGAGGGCUUGCCAGAGGCAGGACUUCAUCUAUGGCAAGAGAUGGAGAGGCUGUGUUCCUUCAGCAUGUGUCUCUUCAGGGCCAGAGCCAGUCUAGUAUGAGAUUGAAAUACGGCUAGCUGGGCCUGGAGGGAGAGGAGGUGGCG
Centrocercus urophasianus (Greater sage-grouse) is the source of this 2637-nucleotide long non-coding RNA. RefSeq lists it as uncharacterized. The record is from RefSeq and is a predicted model, not a curated record. NCBI's taxonomy places the organism in Eukaryota, Metazoa, Chordata, Aves, Galliformes, Phasianidae. The transcript has 5 exons.